UCCAGAGGGUGCGAGCGUUGUCCGGAAUCACUGGGCGUAAAGGGCGCGUAGGCGGCUUGAUAAGCGUGCGGUGAAAGCCCGGGGCUCAACCCCGGGUCGGCCGUGCGAACUGUCGAGCUGGAGCACUGUAGAGGCAGGUGGAAUUCCGGGUGUAGCGGUGGAAUGCGUAGAGAUCCGGAAGAACACCGGUGGUGAAGGCGGCCUGCUGGGCAGUGGCUGACGCUGAGGCGCGACAGCGUGGGGAGCAAACAGG
This 253-nucleotide ribosomal RNA is filed under the name uncultured bacterium. Its description in RNAcentral is "partial 16S ribosomal RNA". It matches the Rfam family "Bacterial small subunit ribosomal RNA", at positions 524 to 776 of the family's 1533-position model. The record is from RNAcentral.